RNAcentral lists this ribosomal RNA (508 nucleotides) under uncultured bacterium. Its description in RNAcentral is "partial 16S ribosomal RNA". It matches the Rfam family "Bacterial small subunit ribosomal RNA", at positions 30 to 523 of the family's 1533-position model. The record is from RNAcentral.
AUUGAACGCUGGCGGCAUGCCUUACACAUGCAAGUCGAACGGCAGCGGGGGAGAAGCUUGCUUUUCCUGCCGGCGAGUGGCGAACGGGUGAGUAAUACAUCGGAACGUGCCCUGUAGUGGGGGAUAACUAGUCGAAAGAUUAGCUAAUACCGCAUACGACCUGAGGGGGAAAGUGGGGGACCGCAAGGCCUCAAGCUAUCGGAGCGGCCGAUGUCUGAUCAGCUAGUUGGUGGGGUAAAGGCCGACCAAGGCUACGAUCAGUAGCUGGUCUGAGAGGACGAUCAGCCACACUGGGACUGAGACACGGCCCAGACUCCUACGGGAGGCAGCAGUGGGGAAUUUUGGACAUUGGGCGAAAGCCUGAUCCAGCAAUGCCGCGUGUGUGAAGAAGGCCUUCGGGUUGUAAAGCACUUUUGUCCGGAAAGAAAUGGCUCUGGUUAAUACCUGGGGUCGAUGACGGUACCGGAAGAAUAAGGACCGGCUAACUACGUGCCAGCCGCCGCCGUAA